CCCCAACCCUGGUCCUCCAAUAACCCCUCCCCUUGCACUCCAAUACCAUCAACCCUUGCACUCCAAUACCCCCAACCUUGGUCCUCCGGUAUCUACAACCCUGGUCCUUCAGUCCUCCAGUUCCCCCAACCCUGGUCCUCCAGUACCCCCAACCCUGGUCCUCCAGUACCCCCAACCCUGGCCCUCCAAUACCCCCAACCCUGGUCCUCAGGUUACCCCCAACCCUGGUCCUCCAGUACCCCCAACCCUGGUCCUCCAGUAUCCCCAACCCUGGUCCUCCAGUAUCCCCAACCCUGGUCCUCCAGUACCCCCAACCCUGGUCCUCCAGUACCCCCAACCCUGGUCCUCCAGUACCCCCAACCCUGGUCCUCCAGUACCCCCAACCCUGGCCCUCCAAUACCCCCAACCCUGGUCCUCAGGUUACCCCCAAACCUGGUCCUCCAGUAUCCCCAACCCUGGUCCUCCAGUACCCCCAACCCUGGUCCUCCAGUACCCCCAACCCUGGUCCUCCAGUACCCCCAACCCUGGUCCUCCAGUACCCCCAACCCUGGUCCUCCAGGACCCACAACCCUGGUCCUCCAGUACCCCCAACCCUGGUCCUCCAGUACUCCCAACCCUGGUCCUCCAGUACUCCCAACCCUGGUCCUCCAGUACCCCCAACCCUGGUCCUCCAGUACCCCCAACCCUGAUCCUCCAGUACCCCCAACCCUGGUCCUCCAGGACCCACAACCCUGGUCCUCCUGUACCCCCAACCCUGGUCCUCCAGUACUCCCAACCCUGGUCCUCCAGUACUCCCAACCCUGGUCCUCCAGUACCCCCAACCCUGGUCCUCCAGUACCCCCAACCCUGGUCCUCCAGUACCCCCAACCCUGGUCCUCCAGUACCCACAACCCUGGUCCUCCAGUACCCCCAACCCUGGUCCUCCAGUACUCCCAACCCUGGUCCUCCAGUACUCCCAACCCUGGUCCUCCAGUACCCCCAACCCUGGUCCUCCAGUCCCCCCAACCCUGGUCCUCCAGUACCCCCAACCCUGGUCCUCUAGUACCCCCAACCCUGGUCCUCAGGUUACCCCCAACCCUGGUCCUCCAGUACCCCCAACCCUGGUCCUCCAGUACCCCCAACCCUGGUCCUCCUGUACCCCCAACCCUGGUCCUCCAGUGCCCCCAACCCUGGUCCUCCAGUACCCCCAACCUUGGUCCUCCAGUAUCCCCAACCCUGAUCCUCCAGUAUCCCCAACCCUGGUCCUCCAGUUCCCCCAACCCUGGUCCUCCAGUACCCCCAACCCUGGUCCUCCAGUACCCCCAACCCUGGUCCUCCAGUACCCCCAACCCUGGCCCUCCAAUACCCCCAACCCUGGUCCUCAGGUUACCCCCAACCCUGGUCCUCCAGUACCCCCAACCCUGGUCCUCCAGUAUCCCCAAGCCUGGUCCUCCAGUAUCCCCAACCCUGGUCCUCCAGUACCCCCAACCCUGGUCCUCCAGUACCCCCAACCCUGGUCCUCCAGUACUCCCAACCCUGGUCCUCCAGUACCCCCAACCCUGGUCCUCCAGUACCCCCAACCCUGGUCCUCCAGUACCCACAACCCUGGUCCUCCAGUACCCCCAACCCUGGUCCUCCAGUACCGCCAACCCUGGUCCUCCAGUAUCCCCAACCCUGGUCCUCCAGUACCCCCAACCCUGGUCCUCCAGUACCCCCAACGCUGGUCCUCCAAUACCCCCAACCCUAGUUGACAAGUUGAAUCAGGUAUGUUUGUCCAGGGCUACAGUAAAAAUUAUAAAACUGUUAUUUUGUUCGACUUCAGUGCAGCUUUUGACUUUAAUCGAUCAUAGACUGCUGAAUGAAAUACAUAUGUGUUAUGGCUUUACAUCCCCUGCUAUAUUGUGGAUAAAGAAUUACCUGUCUAACAGAACACAGAGGGUGUUCUUUAAUGGAAGCCUCUCCAACAUAAUCCAGGUGGAAUCAGGAAUUCCCCAGGGCAGCUGU
Oncorhynchus mykiss (rainbow trout) is the source of this 1983-nucleotide long non-coding RNA. The record is from Ensembl. Lineage: Eukaryota; Metazoa; Chordata; Actinopteri; Salmoniformes; Salmonidae.